RNAcentral lists this long non-coding RNA (1905 nucleotides) under Bemisia tabaci. Its description in RNAcentral is "lncRNA ENSSWEETPG003410". The record is from RNAcentral. Lineage: Eukaryota; Metazoa; Arthropoda; Insecta; Hemiptera; Aleyrodidae.
UGGCGGGAAAUCGAGCAAAACAAAAACAUGUCCCGAAGUGAGGUUAGGUGUACGCUUCCUGGGACUUAAUGAUCCUUUUCUACUUAAAGUUUAAGUUUCAAUUGUAUCUGUUUCGCAGCAUUUCAGCUAAAAUUCUUUGAUUUAAAUAGUUGGCGUGAGCUUUUUUCAUUACCAAAGUUUCGGUCAUGUUUUUUUAGAUAGAGUAAAUUAUUUGUGAAGAUCUAGGAACACCAUGGACCCAACAAACUCCAUCUCAGAGGGAGUUUUUGCAUUCAAUCCAAAACCAAAGAAGAAUACAAAAAAUAGAAAAGCACCGAAUGAAUUCGCCUUCUUCAAACACGAUGAGUGGUAUAAGUCGUUUGAUUCUGUUUGGAGUGAGAUUCACCAAAAAGUUGUCGAGGAAGAAAACAAAAUAACAUCUGAGCUCCAGUCAAAAGUCAAUAAGUUUGCUCACUCAGCCGAAUCAAGCGCUGACACCAUUCCCACUAUAAUUAUGCUCACAGGUAGGGUACAAUUGCUAUUGCAAUACAUUUGUACACAUUUCCAAAUUCGACUCCGUUUUUUGUUCUGAAUUCACUCUCCUUCCUCCAAGAAGAAUAAAAGAAAAAGAAAACGGAAAUAUACUCAAGUCGAGUAGAGCAUUACAAUAAUUUCAGUACAGUUUACAAUAAUUAAAGAAUUUUCCUUGUGUCCCACAUCUUGCUCGACAAGUCAGUGAGUCCGAUAUGUCAAGACAAAAGUGUAAGUAAUUAAAAGUGUAAAGUGGCAAAGUGUAAUUUUGCCAAACAAUACAUUUUUGACUUUUGAAACAAAUUAGAUUACUUCAAAUAUUUGAUUCAAUCUACGGGAUGCAAGUUUCUCUUGUGGGUGGAAAGUUUGAAUCAUCUGCUUCUAAUGUACUUAGACAACACUUGCUGAUUUUAAUUUUAUGAACUCAUCUAAAUUUGUUUUCAUUUGUUCAAUUAUAGCCAAGUGUGAAAUUUCGAUGAGAAUUCAUGUUUAUAGUAUUUUAAUCAGCCUAUCCAGUGAUCCAUUUCCUUUUCACAGACCCAGAAUAAUUCUGCCUCACAUUGGCUAUUCGUUUGCAAGUGUUCUUGAAAAAAAAAAAAAAAAAAAUUUUCAAUUUCAAAUUACAUAUACUUAAACCGCAUUUUAUACUUGAAAGGCUUAAGCAAAAAGCAUUUAUUUAAAUUUAUUGAUAGCAUAUGUUGUCUUUUUUUUACAGUUAGUACCGAAAAAAUAAUACUAAAACUGUGGCAUCGAUGUCAUUGUUCCAUUUAAAUUAUCACCGUAUUAAAUCAAGACUUGUGAAUGCUCUUUAAUCGACUUUUACUGGGAGGUUAUAAUGUUACUGUACCUACCCGAAUUUUAGAACCUCACCUUAUUAAUUGUUAAUAUUGGAACAUUGAUAAAAUCACUUGAAAGAAAUUUUGUCCCAAGAUACAUUUACUCCCAAGGACCUUGUUGUGUUGCUCUUUGUAUUUAUUCAAUACUUUUUUUUUGUGUGUAAAAGUGUGAAUUACGCAAAAUUAAUUUUGUGGCACUCGGCCCAUCAUUGAUGAACAGCCUUCAAUGAGCAAAUACAAUUUUGUUAUUUUUCAGGAGUGAAUUUGUCCGACCACAAGCAAUUGUUCCAAAUAUUGAUGAUUACAUUUUGAACAACUCAAAAUCAUUCACAGCAACUUUAUGGGCUGACAGUUGCACAAACAUUCGCAACAUGAUUGAGAAUCUCGUGUACCAGAUUGAAACUACGGAGGGUGAACCAGAUUCAGAGGUAUGGUAGUUUUUGAACUUAAAACCGAAUGUUUUCUUUUGAAUUUAUAUGUCUUUUAUAUAUGCCUCAUUAAAUUGCAGCUUGUAAUGUGGCAUACACUCCAUUCAAUGUUUCAGGCACAUUGCAUUUCA